AUUUAUAUAGUUUAAUAAAAAUUUUAUAUUUUCAUUAUAAGGUUAAUAAAUAUUUUAUUUAUAAAUU
This 67-nucleotide transfer RNA is filed under the name Euurobracon breviterebrae. RNAcentral's name for it is "tRNA-Glu". The record is from RNAcentral. Lineage: Eukaryota; Metazoa; Arthropoda; Insecta; Hymenoptera; Braconidae.